This 471-nucleotide ribosomal RNA is filed under the name uncultured bacterium. RNAcentral describes it as "bacterial SSU rRNA". It matches the Rfam family "Bacterial small subunit ribosomal RNA", at positions 335 to 798 of the family's 1533-position model. The record is from RNAcentral.
ACUCCUACGGGAGGCAGCAGUAGGGAAUUUUCCGCAAUGGACGAAAGUCUGACGGAGCAAUGCCGCGUGAGUGAUGAAGGUUUUCGAAUCGUAAAGCUCUGUUGUAAGGGAAGAAUAGCAAGAAUAGGAAAUGAUUCUUGUCUGACGGUACCUUACCAGAAAGCCACGGCUAACUACGUGCCAGCAGCCGCGGUAAUACGGAGGGGGUUAGCGUUGUUCGGAAUUACUGGGCGUAAAGCGCGCGUAGGCGGACUAUUAAGUCAGGGGUGAAAUCCCGGGGCUCAACCCCGGAACUGCCCUUGAUACUGGUAGUCUUGAGUUCGAGAGAGGUGAGUGGAAUUCCGAGUGUAGAGGUGAAAUUCGUAGAUAUUCGGAGGAACACCAGUGGCGAAGGCGGCUCACUGGCUCGAUACUGACGCUGAGGUGCGAAAGUGUGGGGAGCAAACAGGAUUAGAUACCCUGGUAGGCUCU